CCUACGGGUGGCAGCAGUAGGGAAUAUUGCUCAAUGGGGGAAACCCUGAAGCAGCAACGCCGCGUGGAGGAUGAAGGUUUUCGGAUUGUAAACUCCUUUUGUUAGAGAAGAUAAUGACGGUAUCUAACGAAUAAGCACCGGCUAACUCCGUGCCAGCAGCCGCGGUAAUACGGAGGGUGCAAGCGUUACUCGGAAUCACUGGGCGUAAAGAGCGCGUAGGCGGGAUAGCAAGUCAGAUGUGAAAUCCUAUGGCUUAACCAUAGAACUGCAUUUGAAACUGUUAUUCUAGAGUAUGGGAGAGGUAAGUGUAAUUCUUGGUGUAGGGGUGAAAUGCGUAGAGAUCAAGAGGAAUACUCAUUGCGAAGGCGACCUGCUAGAACAUAACUGACGCUGAUGCGCGAAAGCGUGGGGAGCAAACAGGAUUAGAUACCCUAGUAGUC
Molecule: ribosomal RNA, 440 nt
Filed under: uncultured bacterium
Lineage: Bacteria
Description: partial 16S ribosomal RNA
Rfam family: Bacterial small subunit ribosomal RNA
Source: RNAcentral